AAAACGACUCUCGGCAACGGAUAUCUCGGCUCUCGCAUCGAUGAAGAACGUAGCGAAAUGCGAUACUUGGUGUGAAUGGCAGAAUCCCGUGAACCAUCGAGUCUUUGAACGCAAGUUGCGCCCGAAGCCGUCAGGCCGAGGGCACGCCUGCCUGGGCGUCGCA
RNAcentral lists this ribosomal RNA (163 nucleotides) under Cydonia oblonga (quince). RNAcentral describes it as "5.8S ribosomal RNA". It matches the Rfam family "5.8S ribosomal RNA". Rfam says of the family: 5.8S ribosomal RNA (5.8S rRNA) is a component of the large subunit of the eukaryotic ribosome. It is transcribed by RNA polymerase I as part of the 45S precursor that also contains 18S and 28S rRNA. Functionally, it is thought that 5.8S rRNA may be involved in ribosome translocation. Lineage: Eukaryota; Viridiplantae; Streptophyta; Magnoliopsida; Rosales; Rosaceae. The record is from RNAcentral.